AUGAGGGCGGCGGCGCUCGGCAUUGUGGCCAUGGCCUGCCUCGUGGCGGUGGCGCGGGGCGGCAACUUCAUCCAGGACUCCGAGAUGACCUGGGGGGACGGCCGCGGGAAGGUCGUCGACGGCGGCCGCGGGCUCGACCUCACGCUCGACAAGACCUCCGGCUCCGGCUUCCAGUCCAAGAGCGAGUACCUGUUCGGCAAGAUUGACAUGCAGAUCAAGCUCGUCCCCGGCAACUCCGCCGGCACCGUCACCACCUUCUACCUGUCGUCGCAGGGGACGGCGCACGACGAGAUCGACUUCGAGUUCCUGGGCAACGUGACCGGCGAGCCUUACACGCUGCACACCAACGUGUUCGCGCAGGGGCAGGGGCAGCGGGAGCAGCAGUUCCGCCUCUGGUUCGACCCCACCAAGGCCUUCCACACCUACUCCAUCAUCUGGAACCCGCAGCACGUCAUAUUCGCGGUGGACGGCACGGCGAUCAGGGACUUCAAGAACCACGAGGCGCGCGGCGUGUCGUUCCCCAAGAGCCAGCCGAUGCGGCUGUACGCGAGCCUGUGGAACGCCGACGACUGGGCCACGCAGGGCGGCCGGGUCAAGACCGACUGGAGCAAGGCGCCGUUCGUCGCCUCCUUCCGCAACUUCAACGCCGACGCCUGCGUCAUGUCGGGCGGCGCGCAGCGCUGCCCCGCGGGCACCAUGGAGGCCUCGGCCGCCGGCGCCAACGGCAGCGGCAGCUGGUGGAACCAGGAGCUGAGCGGCAUGGGGUACCGGCGCAUGCGGUGGGUGCAGAGGAAGUUCAUGAUCUACAACUACUGCACCGACCCCAAGCGGGUGGCGCAGGGCGUGCCCGCCGAGUGCAAGCUCCGCUGA
RNAcentral lists this ribosomal RNA (870 nucleotides) under Triticum aestivum (bread wheat). RNAcentral describes it as "partial small subunit ribosomal RNA". Lineage: Eukaryota; Viridiplantae; Streptophyta; Magnoliopsida; Poales; Poaceae. The record is from RNAcentral.